GAUGAACGCUGGCGGCGUGCCUAAUACAUGCAAGUCGAGCGAACAGAUGAGGAGCUUGCUCCUCUGACGUUAGCGGCGGACGGGUGAGUAACACGUGGAUAACCUACCUAUAAGACUGGGAUAACUUCGGAAAACCGGAGCUAACACCGGAUAAUAUAUUGAACCGCAUGGUUCAAUAGUGAAAGACGGUUUUGCUGUCACUUAUAGAUGGAUCCGCGCCGCAUUAGCUAGUUGGUAAGGUAACGGCUUACCAAGGCAACGAUGCGUAGCCGACCUGAGAGGGUGAUCGGCCACACUGGAACUGAGACACGGUCCAGACUCCUACGGGAGGCAGCAGUAGGGAAUCUUCCGCAAUGGGCGAAAGCCUGACGGAGCAACGCCGCGUGAGUGAUGAAGGUCUUCGGAUCGUAAAACUCUGUUAUUAGGGAAGAACAAAUGUGUAAGUAACUAUGCACGUCUUGACGGUACCUAAUCAGAAAGCCACGGCUAACUACGUG
This 497-nucleotide ribosomal RNA is filed under the name uncultured bacterium. RNAcentral's name for it is "partial 16S ribosomal RNA". It matches the Rfam family "Bacterial small subunit ribosomal RNA", at positions 28 to 507 of the family's 1533-position model. The record is from RNAcentral.